AUUGAACGCUGGCGGCGUGCUUAACACAUGCAAGUCGAUCGGUAACAGGUGUAGCAAUACAUGCUGACGAGAGGCGGACGGGUGAGUAGUGCUUGGGAAUCUGCCUAUUAGUGGGGGACGAACCCGGGGAAACGUCGGGCUAAUACCGCAUACGCUCUACGGAGGAAAGACCGGGGACCGGCAAGGCCUGGCGCUAAUAGAUGAGCCCAACGUCGGAUUAGCUAGUUGGUAGGGGAACGGGCCUACCAAGGCGACAAUCCGUAGCUGGUCUGAGAGGACGACCAGCCACACCGGAACUGAGACACGGUCCGGACUCCUACGGGAGGCAGCAGUGGGGAAUAUUGGACAAUGGGGGCGAACCCUGAUCCAGCGACGCCGCGUGGGUGAAGAAGGCCUGCGGGUUGUAAAGCCCUUUCGGUGGGGAAGAAAAGUCUCGACCUAAUACGUCGGG
RNAcentral lists this ribosomal RNA (451 nucleotides) under uncultured bacterium. RNAcentral's name for it is "bacterial SSU rRNA". It matches the Rfam family "Bacterial small subunit ribosomal RNA", at positions 29 to 472 of the family's 1533-position model. The record is from RNAcentral.